AUUGAACGCUGGCGGCAUGCCUUACACAUGCAAGUCGAACGGCAGCGGGGGAGAAGCUUGCUUUUCCUGCCGGCGAGUGGCGAACGGGUGAGUAAUACAUCGGAACGUGCCCUGUAGUGGGGGAUAACUAGUCGAAAGAUUAGCUAAUACCGCAUACGACCUGAGGGUGAAAGUGGGGGACCGCAAGGCCUCAUGCUAUAGGAGCGGCCGAUGUCUGAUUAGCUAGUUGGUGGGGUAAAGGCCUACCAAGGCGACGAUCAGUAGCUGGUCUGAGAGGAGGAUCAGCCACACUGGGACCGAGACACGGCCCAGACUCCUACGGGAGGCAGCAGUGGGGAAUUUUGGACAAUGGGCGAAAGCCUGAUCCAGCAAUGCCGCGUGUGUGAAGAAGGCCUUCGGGUUGUAAAGCACUUUUGUCCGGAAAGAAAUGGCUCUGGUUAAUACCUGGGGUCGAUGACGGUACCGGAAGAAUAAGGACCGGCUAACUACGUGCCAGCCGCCGCAGUAA
RNAcentral lists this ribosomal RNA (508 nucleotides) under uncultured bacterium. RNAcentral's name for it is "partial 16S ribosomal RNA". It matches the Rfam family "Bacterial small subunit ribosomal RNA", at positions 30 to 523 of the family's 1533-position model. The record is from RNAcentral.